Megalops atlanticus (tarpon) is the source of this 69-nucleotide non-coding RNA. Lineage: Eukaryota; Metazoa; Chordata; Actinopteri; Elopiformes; Megalopidae. The record is from the annotation of a GenBank genome assembly.
GCUGUGUGGCAUAGUGGUAAGGAGGGGGGCUCAUAACCGAAAGGUUGCUGGUUCAAUUCCCCACCAGCG